This 448-nucleotide ribosomal RNA is filed under the name uncultured bacterium. RNAcentral describes it as "partial 16S ribosomal RNA". It matches the Rfam family "Bacterial small subunit ribosomal RNA", at positions 329 to 793 of the family's 1533-position model. The record is from RNAcentral.
GACCAGACUCCUACGGGAGGCAGCAGUGGGGAAUAUUGGGCAAUGGGCGCAAGCCUGACCCAGCAACGCCGCGUGAAGGAUGAAGGUUUUCGGAUUGUAAACUUCUGUCGCGAGGGACGAAGAAUGACGGUACCUCGUAAGAAAGCCCCGACUAACUACGUGCCAGCAGCCGCGGUAAUACGUAGGGGGCAAGCGUUAUCCGGAUUUACUGGGUGUAAAGGGGGCGCAGACGGCAGCGCAAGCCAGGAGUGAAAGCCCGGGGCCCAACCCCGGGACUGCUCUUGGAACUGCGCGGCUGGAGUGCAGGAGGGGCAGGCGGAAUUCCUGGUGUAGCGGUGAAAUGCGUAGAUAUCAGGAGGAACACCGGUGGCGAAGGCGGCCUGCUGGACUGCGACUGACGUUGAGGCCCGAAAGCGUGGGGAGCAAACAGGAUUAGAUACCCUAGUAU